RNAcentral lists this ribosomal RNA (433 nucleotides) under uncultured bacterium. Its description in RNAcentral is "partial 16S ribosomal RNA". It matches the Rfam family "Bacterial small subunit ribosomal RNA", at positions 29 to 507 of the family's 1533-position model. The record is from RNAcentral.
AGCGAACGCUGGCGGCAGGCCUAACACAUGCAAGUCGAACGAACUCUUCGGAGUUAGUGGCGGACGGGUGAGUAACACGUGGGAACGUGCCUUUAGGUUCGGAAUAACUCAGGGAAACUUGUGCUAAUACCGAAUGUGCCCUUCGGGGGAAAGAUUUAUCGCCUUUAGAGCGGCCCGCGUCUGAUUAGCUAGUUGGUUAGGUAAAGGCUCACCAAGGCGACGAUCAGUAGCUGGUCUGAGAGGAUGAUCAGCCACAUUGGGACUGAGACACGGCCCAAACUCCUACGGGAAGCAGCAGUGGGGAAUCUUGCGAAAUGGGCGAAAGCCUGACGCAGCCAUGCCGCGUGAAUGAUGAAGGUCUUAGGAUUGUAAAAUUCUUUCACCGGGGACGAUAAUGACGGUACCCGGAGAAGAAGCCCCGGCUAACUUCGUG